RNAcentral lists this long non-coding RNA (1005 nucleotides) under Mus pahari (shrew mouse). Its description in RNAcentral is "lncRNA (MGP_PahariEiJ_G0033002.1)". Lineage: Eukaryota; Metazoa; Chordata; Mammalia; Rodentia; Muridae. The record is from RNAcentral.
GAUUUCGUUCUAAGUACUAAUCUUUAGGGUAUUUUUCUUAAGAAUGUUAAGAUUUUCAUCUGUUGAAAGUUAAUAUGUACUAGAGUGGGACUGGAGCAAUGGUUCAUGAGUUGAGAGUCAUCUUCUAGACGACCCUAGUGGGUCACAGCUACCUAUACCCUGAGCUCCGUGAGCUCCAAUGCUCUCUUGUGACCUCCAAGGGCACCCACACACAUGUGAUGCACACUAGACACAUAAUGUCCAAAGGACAAAAAGCAGUAACAUCCUUGGCUAUGACAGUUGUUUGUUUUACUAUGUUCCUCCUUUCCUUAUUUUUGCCAUUAAUAGCAAAUGAAGCAAAGGAAACAUUAUUUGCAUCCCUGUUUAUAAAGAUAUAGAUUAUAUAAUAAUUGAUCUAUAUAAAGAUAAUCAUAUCCUGAAAUUCCCAUGGUUUGAUAUUUAAUUGUUGGUGUUUGACAAUUUCAUUUCAUGUUAAAGCAGAUUUUGGUGGAAAACAUCAUUUGCUAAAAUAUUCUUGCAUUGUUACAUGGUAGAAUAUGAUCACAUUAGCCUCUGAAUUAUGCCUCAUCAUGGUUUAAAAUAUCAUUCUUAGUUUUCAUUCUUUUGCCACAGCACAGUUCUUAAGUUACUAUCAUUUAAGUGGCUUGCCAUACAAUCAGUGCUACAGUCCCUGUAUAACACAUGGAGGCCUGUAGAUUACGGAGGACUACUGGGUAAUCACCUGCCCCAAGGCUCCCUUAAUUUUUCUGCUUUCCUUGGCAGUUCUAAGCUUUUGAAGAGUCAGUUGUGAAUGUACUCAGUCACAAAGGCCCAGUAAAUUUGUGUUUCAUUUAUUUAACUGAUUUGUUAUGCAAUUGUGAAGAAAUUAAAGUGUAAAACCAGAGUUGUUCUCUAAUAUGAGAAAAAAAAAGUCAUUUUCUUCAGUGGUGCUGAAUUUACAUGGGCAAAUCUGUAGAAAGUUAAUAAAGUCAUGUACUUUAAAUUCUGAUAUUCUCAAGAAUAGCU